CAGCCGCCACGGUAAUACGAAGGGUGCAAGCGUUAAUCGGAAUUACUGGGCGUAAAGCGUGCGUAGGCGGUUUGUUAAGUCUGUUGUGAAAUCCCCGGGCUCAACCUGGGAAUGGCAAUGGAUACUGGCAAGCUAGAGUGUGUCAGAGGAUGGUGGAAUUCCCGGUGUAGCGGUGAAAUGCGUAGAGAUCGGGAGGAACAUCAGUGGCGAAGGCGGCCAUCUGGGACAACACUGACGCUGAGGCACGAAAGCGUGGGGAGCAAACAGGAUUAGAUACCCGUGUAGUCCCUGUCUCUUAUAC
Molecule: ribosomal RNA, 301 nt
Filed under: uncultured bacterium
Lineage: Bacteria
Description: partial 16S ribosomal RNA
Rfam family: Bacterial small subunit ribosomal RNA
Source: RNAcentral